GGGCCCUUAGCUCAGUGGCAGAGCAGGUGACUCAUAAUCACUUGGUCGGGGGUUCGAAUCCCUCAGGGCCCA
Molecule: transfer RNA, 72 nt
Filed under: Pseudomonadota bacterium
Lineage: Bacteria; Pseudomonadati; Pseudomonadota
Also listed under: 1 other name
Description: tRNA-Ile
Rfam family: tRNA
About the family: Transfer RNA (tRNA) molecules are approximately 80 nucleotides in length. Their secondary structure includes four short double-helical elements and three loops (D, anti-codon, and T loops).
Source: RNAcentral